Molecule: non-coding RNA, 537 nt
Organism: Pelobates cultripes (western spadefoot toad)
Lineage: Eukaryota; Metazoa; Chordata; Amphibia; Anura; Pelobatidae
Source: the annotation of a GenBank genome assembly
AAAAAAUCCAUCUUCACCCAUGGAGGGCUCCGCGCAGACUGUGCUCUGCAGGGCGGGGGAAGGCUUAUAAAGCCUUCCCCCGCCCUGCAAUUAGGCUAAGAACACUCUGAUUGGUUGGUUUAAGCCAAUCAGAGUACUCUUUGUCAUUUUACAUAGCGUGGGAAAGUUCCAAAUUUAAUUUGACUCAUAACACUCUGAUUGGUGAGCUUGAAAUCCAUCCAAUCAGAGUGCUCUGUGUCAUUUUACACAGUGUGGGAAACUUGUCGUCCCCCUCUCAUUAGCUUUAUGGCCCCCACACAUCACCCAGGGGUGGUGCUCACUGGCUGCUCACUGUUUACUAGACAUGCCCCUACUCACGGUAUAGCCAGUAGGGGCAGAAUUUACUAAUACUAAGUAAUCUUUACUUAGUAUUAGUAAAUGUGGCUGAAAGACCAAUUUAGGUCUUUCAGCCUUUUGGUAGAUAGCUCCCUAAUACCGUGGGAAUUAGGGAGUUAUCUACUAAGCGGCUGCAAAAUGCAGCCACAGCACGAAUAGGAU